GACGAACGCUGGCGGCGUGCUUAACACAUGCAAGUCGAACGGAAAGGCCCUGCUUUUGUGGGGUGCUCGAGUGGCGAACGGGUGAGUAACACGUGAGUAACCUGCCCUUGACUUUGGGAUAACUUCAGGAAACUGGUGCUAAUACCGGAUAGGAGCUCCUGCUGCAUGGUGGGGGUUGGAAAGCUUCGGCGGUUGGGGAUGGACUCGCGGCUUAUCAGCUUGUUGGUGGGGUAGUGGCUUACCAAGGCUUUGACGGGUAGCCGGCCUGGGAGGGUGACCGGCCACCUUGGGACUGAGAUACGGCCCAGACUCCUACGGGAGGCAGCAGUGGGGAAUAUUGCACAAUGGGCGGAAGCCUGAUGCAGCAACGCCGCGUGCGGGAUGACGGCCUUCGGGUUGUAAACCGCUUUAGCCUGUGACGAAGCGUGAGUGACGGUAAUGGGUAAAGAAGCACCGGCUAACUACGUG
RNAcentral lists this ribosomal RNA (468 nucleotides) under uncultured bacterium. RNAcentral describes it as "partial 16S ribosomal RNA". It matches the Rfam family "Bacterial small subunit ribosomal RNA", at positions 28 to 507 of the family's 1533-position model. The record is from RNAcentral.